GCAAGUCGAGGGGUAACAUUGUAGCUUGCUACAGAUGACGACCGGCGCACGGGUGCGUAACUCGUAUACAAUCUGCCUUGUACUUAGGAAUAGCUCAGCGAAAUUUGGAUUAAUGCCUCAUGGUAUAUGGUUCUGGCAUCAGGACUAUAUUAAAGGUUACGGUACAAGAUGAGUAUGCGUCCUAUUAGCUAGAUGGUGUGGUAACGGCAUACCAUGGCGACGAUAGGUAGGGGCCCUGAGAGGGGGAUC
This 249-nucleotide ribosomal RNA is filed under the name uncultured bacterium. RNAcentral's name for it is "partial 16S ribosomal RNA". It matches the Rfam family "Bacterial small subunit ribosomal RNA", at positions 57 to 305 of the family's 1533-position model. The record is from RNAcentral.